GACCGCGGGAAUUCGAUUCAGACCAAACACAUGCAAGUCGAAAGAGACCUUCGGGUAUAGUGGCGCACGGGUGCGUAACGCGUGGGAACCUGCCCUUAGGUUGGGAAUAACUCAGAGAAAUUUGAGCUAAUACCAGAUAAUGUCUUCGGACCAAAGAUUUAUCUCCUUAGGAUGGGCCUGCGUAGGAUUAGCUAGUUGGUGGGGUAAUGGCCUACCAAGGCGACGAUCCUUAGGUGGUUUGAGAGGAUGAUCAGCCACACUGGGACUGAGACGCGGCCCAGACUCCUACGGGAGGCAGCAGUGGGGAAUAUUGUAAAAGGGGCGAAACCCUGAUCCAGCAAUCCCGCGUGAUUUAAGGGGGCCUUAGGGUUGUAAAGCUCUUUUACCAGGGAUGAUAAUGACAGUACCUGAGA
Molecule: ribosomal RNA, 413 nt
Filed under: uncultured bacterium
Lineage: Bacteria
Description: bacterial SSU rRNA
Rfam family: Bacterial small subunit ribosomal RNA
Source: RNAcentral